CUGUUCUCACCCCGUGGUGGACUGCCGGGGCCAUUACGGAGGCAGUAGAGGAAGCCGGUGCGAAUCCGGCGCGGUCCCGCCACUGUCACCGGGGAGAAGGUCCCCCGGGAGCCAGGAACUCUCGCCUCCGUUCACGUCGAACC
Non-coding RNA from Streptomyces tsukubensis NRRL18488, 143 nucleotides. Lineage: Bacteria; Bacillati; Actinomycetota; Actinomycetes; Kitasatosporales; Streptomycetaceae. The record is from Rfam.